CUGACGUUAGCGGCGGACGGGUGAGUAACACGUGGGUAACCUACCUAUAAGACUGGGAUAACUCCGGGAAACCGGGGCUAAUACCGGAUAACACAUGAAACCGCAUGGUUUCAUGAUGAAAGACGGUUUUGCUGUCACUUAUAGAUGGACCCGCGGCGUAUUAGCUAGUUGGUAAGGUAACGGCUUACCAAGGCAACGAUACGUAGCCGACCUGAGAGGGUGAUCGGCCACACUGGAACUGAGACACGGUCCAGACUCCUACGGGAGGCAGCAGUU
Molecule: ribosomal RNA, 276 nt
Filed under: uncultured Staphylococcus sp.
Lineage: Bacteria; Bacillati; Bacillota; Bacilli; Caryophanales; Staphylococcaceae
Description: partial 16S ribosomal RNA
Rfam family: Bacterial small subunit ribosomal RNA
Source: RNAcentral